Molecule: ribosomal RNA, 764 nt
Filed under: uncultured Orbiliales
Lineage: Eukaryota; Fungi; Ascomycota; Orbiliomycetes; Orbiliales
Description: SSU rRNA
Rfam family: Eukaryotic small subunit ribosomal RNA
Source: RNAcentral
UUAGCAUGGAAUAAUAAAAUAGGACGGAGGUUCUAUUUUGUUGGUUUCUAGAGCCACCGUAAUGAUUAAUAGGGAUAGUCGGGGGCAUCAGUAUUCAAUUGUCAGAGGUGAAAUUCUUGGAUUUAUUGAAGACUAACUACUGCGAAAGCAUUUGCCAAGGAUGUUUUCAUUAAUCAGUGAACGAAAGUUAGGGGAUCGAAGACGAUCAGAUACCGUCGUAGUCUUAACCAUAAACUAUGCCGACUAGGGAUCGGGCGGUGUUCAAUUUAUGACCCGCUCGGCACCUUACGAGAAAUCAAAGUUUUUGGGUUCUGGGGGGAGUAUGGUCGCAAGGCUGAAACUUAAAGGAAUUGACGGAAGGGCACCACCAGAUGUGGAGCCUGCGGCUUAAUUUGACUCAACACGGGGAAACUCACCAGGUCCAGACACAUUAAGGAUUGACAGAUUGAGAGCUCUUUCUUGAUUAUGUGGGUGGUGGUGCACGGCCGUUCUUAGUUGGUGGAGUGAUUUGUCUGCUUAAUUGCGAUAACGAACGAGACCUUAACCUGCUAAAUAGCCAGGCUAGCUUUUGCUGGUCGCCGGCUUCUUAGAGGGACUAUCGGCUCAAGCCGAUGGAAGUUUGAGGCAAUAACAGGUCUGUGAUGCCCUUAGAUGUUCUGGGCCGCACGCGCGCUACACUGACAGAGCCAACGAGUAUAAACCUUAACCGAGAGGUUUGGGUAAUCUUGUUAAACUCUGUCGUGCUGGGGAUAGAGCAUUGCAAU